This is a long non-coding RNA of Centruroides sculpturatus (bark scorpion), 3773 nucleotides long. RefSeq lists it as uncharacterized. The transcript is spliced from 3 exons. The record is from RefSeq and is a predicted model, not a curated record. Lineage: Eukaryota; Metazoa; Arthropoda; Arachnida; Scorpiones; Buthidae.
UCAAAGUUCGUUAUUUCUUUUUAAUGGACACGUGAAGGAAUUAAGAGGAAUGCUUGUUUUAAUAUUCACGGACUUUAAUUUUUUGCACUUAAGCAAAUACAAAGACUUCACAAAGAAUUUAGAUCACUUAUUUAAUUCUUUUUUUCCCCUCAGAAAAAAAAUGUGUCUGUGCGUUUCUUUAAUCGAGUUAUUUAUGGAAUUGUCGUGGUUUUGUUCCAUUAUCCGUGCAACAAUUCAUAGUUCAUUUUCUGCUUUAAUUGUUACUUAAAACAAUAAGAAAAAAAAGGCAAUGAAAAGACACGUUUGGGAGCAAUUUCCGAUGUAGAACGAUUUUUUUCCUCUCUCUCUCCCUUUUUUUGUAUUGUUAUCAACAAAUAGUGAUCUAUAGAAAGUUACUGACAAGUGGAUCAUGUAGUAGCCGAGUGGAUCAGAUGCCCGAAAUAAUCCAGUCCACACGAAAAAUAAGUAAAUACUCGUUAUUUAAGAACAUGUGACACGUGAAACUAACUUUUUGACGAAGCGGUGGUCGUGUUUUAUGGAAAAACGUGGUUUUAAAUUACCCACGUGUUUAUUAUGAAAAUACAGCUUCACGUUCACCCACGUGUUGAUUUGUAUGUAAAUAUGCUUGCAGUUCACCCACUUAUUGACUUAUACGAAAACAUAGCAGUUAAUUGACAAGUUGAUUCGUAUUGAAAUUUAAUUAUUGAUCCAUCCAUGUAUCGAUUCCGAAGAAAACACAGUGGUUUCUACGAAAACGCGACUGCAACUUACCCAUAAGUUGAUCUGUACUGAAACAUGGAGUGUUGCAGAUCAUUUACAUAUUUAUCCGUAUGGAAAUUUAUCUUCACGGUUCACCAGAAAGAUGAUUCAUAUGAAAACAUGAUUGCUACAUGAUUCUGACGAAAGCAUCGCUUGCAAUUUAUCAUGAAAUGAUUCUUAUGAAAACAUGGUUGAAGCUAACUCAUAAGUUCAUUAGUAUGGAAGUAUGAUUUACUGAUCACUUACAGGAAUCGUGUGGGAAGAUGUGGCAGAUUGCCACUUGUUGAUUGGUGUGAAACCAUAAUUGCAGAUCAUCAAGUCUAUUCGAAUGGCAACAUGCUUGCAGCUUUCACCAUAAGGCGAUUCACACGGAAACGUCUCAGUAAAUCAAUGCAACUGGAUACAUUUGAAUAUAAAAUAUAUAUUUUAAAAAGCCGUCCAUGGCAAUUUAAUGUAAUUAAAAACACAGAAUCUCCAAUAAUGACCACCUCUAAAAAGCGGACUUUUUUUUAUAUUUCCGACAGUGGCCGUCAUUCAGAGGUUCGAAGUUAUAAUAACCAGAAUCGAAAAGUGAAUUCGGAUCGACGAUAUUAACCAUAUUAGUAAAGGGCAUGUAAAAACACCAAUAACAAUUAAAGUGCCAGCAUGGAUUAAUUAUUAGAAACUAUUUUUUAAUUAUAAUCAGGGCGGUUUCUUUUUAAUUAGUUUACUUUAUUAAUCACCGAGCAAUCUCAUCAUCAAAAAUAAAGAAAGGAGAGUUAAUUAGAAGAGAAAAAAUUAUCUUGGGCAUUCAUUGUCCGUGCAUUAUUUCCUCGUGAUGUCAUCGUAAAGGUUAACGAAAUGAUUAUUAACGUCCGUCCUUGGCUUCGGAGGAUUUUCAAGAAACUAACUCCACGUUUGACGUAUUUAUAGACUCGAAAUUAAUUCUAAAACAAGAAAAAAAAAACACAUCUUAUCCCAUUGUUCGCCAUUUUCUUCUUCUUACUUCUCAUCUGUUUCAUUCAUUAUUUAAUAGGGUUUGUUCGUUUCUUCGCAUCGAUGAUCCUACUAAUCCUGACUUUUUGAAUCCUGUAAUUGUCUCUUCUUAACCAUUAACGAUUUUUUUUUUUAAUAUAAAUUAUUGUGAAUGAAUGGACGGGGAGAGAGGGUCGUAGAGGGUCGGCUGUGAUGUAAGUUUAAAUUUUUCAAUUGUUUUCGUCCUUGCGACUCUAUUCAUGCCCUUGAACUAAUGAAAUUUGUGCUUUGCCGGUUUGAAUUUCUGUUUACGAAACUCACUUGCAGUUUCAGUAGGAUUAAUUGGGUGAUUUUUUGGUAGGAAAUUAUACGUAAAACUGAAAAAUACGGUGUUUAGUGGGACAAGGUGCACAAAGCCAAGGAAAAAAAAAAAACAUAUAAACAUAUAAAUUUUAAUGUAAUAAAAAUGCAUAAAACGUUUUUUUAAGUUACAUAAAUUCAAGGACGAAAUUCCUUAGUAGGAUAAACAUAAUUUAUUAUAGAGUUCUAUAAUUUUCUUAAGAGGCUAAGGAUGUGUUGUAGUAGGAUCAAGUGUAUUCAAUUCCGUAGUAUUACAUAACACUCGGAAACAAGUGGAUAAACACGUCCACAUCGUGAAUUUUCUGUAGGAUAAAUACAAAGAAAUGGGAGAAGAAUAUUUGUAUUUUUAUAGGGAAGGAAAAUGCGGAUAAAGCUUGACAACAGAAUGAUUUUACGCUCCACGUGAGUCUUUUAUCUUUCGAAAAAUUCGUAAAUAUAUCCUUUCGUGGACUUUUACACAGAUAAAAAUCUUAGCCAACUGGACGGAGAUAGAGAUAAAAAUGCGAAAUCAAUAAACAAUGGCGUGCCAAACGAUCACGUGAUUGACUUCUCCCCCGUAUAAGACCGGUUUUGUACGCCUACGUACGAGUACCGUACCUGCUACGUACACGACUUGACAUUGGAGUCAUGCCUGAAUUCGCACGUAAGGAUUCUUUCGAAUCCUCUCCACCGUGUUCCUUGCCAAAUUUUCUUUCAUGCACUCGUCACGUGGCAUUUUUUUUUGUGCUCUGGCACGUUUAUGAAAUACGCAAAUUAUCAUUUAUUCUUUUCUUUUGUACGUGUUUCUCUGUAAAAUAAAAACCCGUGACAAAAUAGUUACGUAACAGAAGCACCUCGAUUCCCGUAUUCAAAAAAGUAGUGUUUUAACAGACGUCUAGCGUGCGACGCGAUAUUAGUUCGCGAUGUCGCGUCGCUCGAACAACGUACACCUUUUUUUUAUUAUUUAUCCUAUAGAAAAUUUACGGUGUGAACGUGUAUUCGAGUAUACAGUAUAAACAUGUUUUUAAUUUCUAUUAAAAAUACAUAAAAGUUAUUUUAAAUGCUUAUAUUGUUUACUCGAUACGUCGAGUGAAUAUUAUCAGAGCGACGCGACACCACGCAACUAAAUACUAUUAUUAUUAUUUAAUAAACUCGUGUAUUUUUUUUAAGUGAAAAAUUACUAAAUUCGAUUUAAAGUAUCAAAAUAUCUUAAAUAUUUUCGUAAUUUUUGAAUUCGAGCGUGUGUUUUAAGCGAAAGCGACGAAGCGACCGUCGCUUCUCGCUGUCGCGGUAGUGGAAUGUUGUAUUUCGCAGUUUGUUUUUACUUGAAUUUUAAUUAUGAAAUUUUCUUUCCUGUUCGUGAGCAAGCCACUAAAUUGUAGAAAUUUAUUUCAUUAAAAUCCGAAAAAAUAAACACAUUUAUGUGGACAAACUUUUAUAGAUUAUUCUAUCAACUAGAUCAAUAAAAUACAGAUGUUGGAGUCAACUUUUUAUCCUAAAAUGGGAACAAAACUUCUGCUGUACGUACACAUGACACACUUUUACACUUAUCGAUUCUACGCGAUGCCAAUUUAAUAAUAAAAAUGGGUUUUGACAACUAAAAUAAGGGCGUCACCAGAGUUUACACCUUUUCUUCUUACUCAUUACACCUGCUGCGACUAUAGAGUACGUCACACGUAAAAAUAACAGUUGUUUAGGGAGGUGGGAGGUUAAAGUUCCGA